Molecule: ribosomal RNA, 332 nt
Filed under: uncultured bacterium
Lineage: Bacteria
Description: bacterial SSU rRNA
Rfam family: Bacterial small subunit ribosomal RNA
Source: RNAcentral
CAAGUAGGUGGUCUCAUUUGUCUAGGGUGAAAUCCUUGAGCUUAACUCAAGAAGUGCCCUAGAAACGGUGAGACUCGAGUUCUGGAGAGGGUCGUGGAAUUCCCGGUGUAGCGGUGAAAUGCGUAGAGAUCGGGAGGAACACCAGAGGCGAAGGCGGCGACCUGGACAGAUACUGACACUCAACUGCGAAAGCGUGGGGAGCAAACAGGAUUAGAUACCCUGGUAGUCCACGCUGUAAACGAUGGGAACUAGGUUUGAUGGGUCUUGACCCCCGUCGAACCGGCGCUAACGCACUAAGUUCCCCGCCUGGGAAGUACGGUCGCAAGACUAAA